This 104-nucleotide small RNA is filed under the name Escherichia coli. Its description in RNAcentral is "partial RtT sRNA". It matches the Rfam family "RtT RNA", at positions 29 to 130 of the family's 130-position model. Rfam says of the family: This family represents a bacterial cis-regulatory element known as RtT RNA. The record is from RNAcentral. Lineage: Bacteria; Pseudomonadati; Pseudomonadota; Gammaproteobacteria; Enterobacterales; Enterobacteriaceae.
GCUUCGACCAAGGUUCGACUCGAGCGCCAGCGAGAGAGCGUUGCCUCAGGCAACGACCCGAAGGGCGAAGCGCGCAGCGCUGAGUAAUCCUUCCCCCACCACCA